GACGAACCACACAAACGUUAUUCGGAAUUACUGGGCUUAAAGGGUGCGUAGGCGGCGCGGAAAGUUGGGUGUGAAAUCCCUCGGCUCAACCGAGGAACUGCGCCCAAAACUACCGUGCUCGAGGGAGAUGGAGGUGAGCGGAACUUAGGGUGGAGCGGUGAAAUGCGUUGAUAUCCUAAGGAACACCCGUGGCGAAAGCGGCUCACGUGGUCUUCUCUGACGCUGAGGCACGAAAGCUAGGGUAGCGAACGGG
RNAcentral lists this ribosomal RNA (253 nucleotides) under uncultured bacterium. RNAcentral describes it as "partial 16S ribosomal RNA". It matches the Rfam family "Bacterial small subunit ribosomal RNA", at positions 524 to 776 of the family's 1533-position model. The record is from RNAcentral.